CUCAGAUCAGUUUAAAGACUCCACCUGAGCCACUUGUGCUGCGUUCACUGUCCUCAGGUCAGUUUAAAGUCUCCCUGACUGGACACCGCACGAGGGCGCGGCAGAGAUCCACCUUCUAGCUAACCGCUAAUUGAACGUCCGUUUCUGUAGUACCAGUACCAGAGCCAAGCCAUGGACUCAAGCAUGGAAAACCUUUCUUCAAAGCAGAUGAUGGAGCAGAUAGCUGACCUCGCGCACAGUCAGAGUCAGCUGAAGGAGCUGACCAAGGAGAUGAAACAAUGGCUGGAUGUCGCUGACGAGGAGAUAUCAGAGCUGCGCUCACAGAACACUAGCAUGACAAAGCACAUCAAAAGACUGGAGAAGCUCCUCAGUGAAAAAGCCCACAAUGAAGCAGAGUCAAGCGGGUUACUACGAGGCGAGGACCUUGAUGCAGAUAAAAUCAAUGCGCAAAAGAUGAACAAGAUGGAGAAAGAAGCUGCCCUGAUGAUGGAGGAAACUCAGAAGCUCACUGCAGAGAUGAGAAGCCUCCAGGAACAAAAAGAGAAGGAUCAGGCCCGCAUACGUGACAUCACGACUGACCUGGAAACAUUUAAGUGUUACAUUGAACAGGGUGAGUUAGAGCAGCAGCA
This 629-nucleotide long non-coding RNA is filed under the name Gouania willdenowi (blunt-snouted clingfish). RNAcentral describes it as "lncRNA (ENSGWIG00000013167.1)". The record is from RNAcentral. Lineage: Eukaryota; Metazoa; Chordata; Actinopteri; Blenniiformes; Gobiesocidae.